Molecule: non-coding RNA, 297 nt
Organism: Otolemur garnettii (small-eared galago)
Lineage: Eukaryota; Metazoa; Chordata; Mammalia; Primates; Galagidae
Source: Rfam
GCUGGACUUGGAGCGCGCUCCUGUAGUUCCAGCUACUUGGGAGACUGAGACAGGAAGAUCACUUGAGUUCAGGAGUUCUGGGCUGUAGUGCACUAUGCCAAUCAGGUGUCUGCACUAAGUUCUGCAUCAAUAUAGUGACCUCCCAGGAGCAAGGGCCACCAGGUUGCCUAAGGAGGGGUGAACCGACCUAGUUUGGAAAUAGAGCAGGUCAAAGCUCCCAUGCUGAUCAGUAGUGGAUCGAGUCUGUGAAUAGCCACUGCACUCCAGCCUGAGCAGCAUAGCAAGAUCCUGCCUCUC